This is a long non-coding RNA of Orcinus orca (killer whale), 1347 nucleotides long. RefSeq lists it as uncharacterized. The record is from RefSeq and is a predicted model, not a curated record. NCBI's taxonomy places the organism in Eukaryota, Metazoa, Chordata, Mammalia, Artiodactyla, Delphinidae. The transcript has 6 exons.
GUAAAUAUUUUAAUUGCAAGGAAUUGAAAAAGUGGUUUUCAAUCCCACUGGUUGAUGCCAGGCCAGGUUUUUGAUUAUACAACUGAGGAUGUAGCUCUGUAGUCCUGACAGCUGAGUAGUAGAGAAGAUGCUGUUUUCUUCCCACAGAAAUACCACUUCUGGGCUUCCCUGGUGGCGCAGUGGUCGAGAGUCCGCCUGCCAAUGCAGGGGACACGGGUUCGUGCCCCGGUCCGGGAAGAUCCCACAUGCCGCGGAGCGGCUAGGCCCGUGAGCCACGGUCGCUGAGCCUGCGCGUCUGGACCCUGUGCCCUGCAACGGGAGAGGCCACAACAUUUCCUGAGUUUCUGGGAAGGCCUGGUUUCCCCAAAGGAAUGAUUUCUGGUAGAAGUCUGAAGGUCUGACCCAAGAAAAAAACUCCAGUAUAGCCAAUGAAUUGAGGACAAGAAGGUUUCCAAUCAGUGUGAUCCCAGAAGUCUCACCAAGAGAUGGUGUUGAUUCUUCUCAGUGCAAGAGUUGCUCCACCUCUCAGAGAGGAGGAACAUCAGAAGUGCCAGCCACCCUACAUAAGCUCCAAGUCUCAUCCUUUCAAAGUUCCUUUCCUGUAGUGCAACUUCUGCACAUUCAGAUGAUCUCUGGUCCAUUUUAUCAGGGAUCAUGAUUGACUGAUGGCUCCAGUUACUAUUACCAGCACAGGACAGAGCCUGGUGUGGCCAAGAAAGCGGGCCAUUCCUGUGAAUACAAGACUGCCCCAACAGGCAUACUGUUGCUGCGUUUAACCUCACUGAAGCCAGACUAAUCUAGAGAUGUUCUUAGCUUCCUGUGACUCAUAUGAAGGUUAUCAUUUUAGAAGAGACCUUGAAAACAUACUCUGGAUUUAGGGGGGAAAAAAAACUCUGACAUUUCCAAGAGGAAAAGCUUUUUUUAAGUUUUAUAUUGUAGAUGCAGAGCUUAAAGCAUUUAAACACAUACAGCAAGCAAUAUAAUAUGAAUCAUGUAACAAAAGUUAAAUUUAAGUGAAAACCUUGUGUGGUAUGUUGCAGUCACAAAAGAAGAUACAAAAUUAAUGUGGACACCUGCUUGUUUUACUUGUAUCAGGAGAAAAUAAAAUUAAUUGUCAUUUAAUGAAUUGCUUUCUGUUGUAGCACACUUAAUUAUCUCUUCCUGUAACCCCAAGAAGUAUCUUUUCAAACUCACAGCUGUAUCUGAAUAGGGGCUACCAACUAAAGAGGUAAGCAAUACUUUUUAAUAAUUACAGUGUAUUUGUUUUCAUCUGUCUUUACGGAACAUUGUAAAAUUAGACACCUGCCCCUUGAAUAAAGCAAUACCGAGCUUAAUGAAGUCUGAGAA